Molecule: ribosomal RNA, 497 nt
Filed under: uncultured bacterium
Lineage: Bacteria
Description: partial 16S ribosomal RNA
Rfam family: Bacterial small subunit ribosomal RNA
Source: RNAcentral
GAUGAACGCUGGCGGCGUGCCUAAUACAUGCAAGUCGAGCGAACAGACGCGGCGCUUGCUCCUCUGACGUUAGCGGCGGACGGGUGAGUAACACGUGGAUACCCUCCCUAUAAGACUGGGAUAACUUCGGGAAACCGGAGCUAAUACCGGAUAAUAUAUUGAACCGCAUGGUUCAAUAGUGAAAGACGGUUUUGCUGUCACUUAUAGAUGGAUCCGCGCCGCAUUAGCUAGUUGGUAAGGUAACGGCUUACCAAGGCAACGAUGCGUAGCCGACCUGAGAGGGUGAUCGGCCACCCUGGAACUGAGACACGGUCCAGACUCCUACGGGAGGCAGCAGUAGGGAAUCUUCCGCAAUGGGCGAAAGCUUGACGGAGCAACGCCGCGUGAGUGAUGAAGGUCUUCGGAUCGUAAAACUCUGUUAUUAGGGAAGAACAAAUGUGUAAGUAACUAUGCACGUCUUGACGGUACCUAAUCAGAAAGCCACGGCUAACUACGUG